GGACAAGCCUGCGCUGCCAGGAGACCUGAAAGAGCAGGUUAGGGAUAGACCAUUAUGGAGAGAACCUGCGAUCGCUAGGAGUCAAAAGUGACUCGAUGGCAUAAAGUCAGACGCACUCAGCACCUGCAGCCCGGGCUUUUGUGCAGAGGCCACCUCUCCACUGGUACCACCCCAGGGUCCUCUGCGCAGGCAGGCAACCAGGAACAUCGGGCACACAGCGAGGACCCUCGAUGCACGUUUACCUUUCCGAGGACCAGGGUGAUCUGUGGGCAGUGCUGGUUCCAUUCUUGUGUCUUGCAGAGCCCAGAAGGCCCUCCUCUGCCAUGCAAGGGGCAGGAUGGUUCCAGCCCUUCCUGCAAGCUCUGCAGCCUUCUGCUAAAUGAGGAAGAGCGGGAAUAGGGUAUUCUGAAGCUAGACCAGCCUCCUGAGCACUCCUGGGCUAUCAGGGCAAAGAGUGUGCUCAAAGUGGGUGCAUGGGGGGGUGGAGAGUUCAGGUGGUUAGGAACAGCAUGCGGGGGGAAAGGGCCGCAGCUGGAGACCACUGGAAAGUGAGCAUCUGCUCCCUUGUAGGGUUGCUCCUGAGAUCCUUUCAAGGGAAACAGAGCUAAACGCAACUGCUUGACUGCUAGCUCGUUCAUCUGCCAUACCCCUCCAGCCCCUUGAAGGGCCCAGACACCCCAUUUCUGUAGGAUCUAGACUGAAACAGUCAAACAACUGGGGAGCACCCAGGAGAUGCUAAGCUACCUCAAACCACUGAAAAUUAUUGCCAGCCCUUACAGCUCGUCCACACCCACAAACAAGUGCUCACAACCGCUGGGUUCAGAGACAGCCACACGCAUACAAGCAGAGGUUAAAACGCAGCUUGCUUGACACUGAGCCCAGCCACACCUAGGUCCUUGUAGCCAAUAAAUCAUAGUUAAACUUUGGCUUACCCUGCUGUGGGAAUAGCCACUCACCUUCAGUUUGGUUUUAGGAACUACAUGGUUUCUGCAUUUUGGCUCCCACUUGCAGAUGCCCGUCCCUAAUCUCUUUUCCUGUAUUUUACAGCACUGAACAGCACAUCCCACGCUGUCAGGAUUCUUAAACGUUUUUGGACCUUCCCGUGGUCUUACAACUUUUGGAGGGCAGGAACUCCGGUGCCGUAAUGCAACCUGUGUUGCAAGCUCCAAACUGCCGUUUUGCACAGCCAGUCAGGAAGCAGAAGUUGGAAACCACUGAAAGUGACACCGAGCACCCUGGUGUGCUGUUAACUCAUUCCCAUUCCUUCUUGGGAGGACAAGGGGGGGGGCUGACACCUUGGCCUCCAACCUGAGUGACAGAGGUUCCAACUUCCCUACGCUGGAGGAGUUAGCAGUGAGAUGGUCAGAGCAGAUUUGUCCUCCAAUGAGUCAGAGAGCUGGAAGUUUUAUCCCUUUGGUGAAGUCCUACAGUGGCUGCUGAGCUCUGUGCAACAGCUGCAUCUUCUUGAAAUCCUGAGUGGGACGCCCUAUGGAACAGCAUCCUUCUGGAAAUCUGGACAGCCCCGACCCCGUUAGCCUUUCGCAAGGCUUUGGAGAACUGGUUGUCUCCUCAGGUGUUUAAGUCAGGUCGAGUAAAAUAACCAACACCCACAAGCCUCCAGUCAAUAAGAACCAAACCCAACAAUAAGAAUGAAGGAACAUUUUUACUGCAAAAAAGAAAAGCUCCAGGUGCAAUGUCUGGCCGUCAGACUCUGGGUACAAUGCUUUUGCAAAGAAUCGGCUGCUAGCUUUCAGAUGCCACACACCCAACGGGCAGAUAACCCGUGACAAGCUCUGCCACCUUUCAUGCAGCUGUGAAUUAUUU
Python bivittatus (Burmese python) is the source of this 1824-nucleotide non-coding RNA. Lineage: Eukaryota; Metazoa; Chordata; Lepidosauria; Squamata; Pythonidae. The record is from RefSeq and is a predicted model, not a curated record.